AUUUUGAGAUGGCCAUUGCCUACUGGAAUCUUAUUUUUACUGGUCGCUUCAAAUUUUUGGUUUUGGUCCCUCUCUCUCUCUCUCCCCCUCCCUCCCCCUUCUCUCAGUCUCAUUAUAAAAGAGCUGGCAAUACCCAAAGACACUUGGAACCUUCUGCUAGAGUUUUCUAACAGGAUUGAUGACACCAUGAGCAAUUAUGAUGAAGAUGGCCGUUUGGUUUUUGUUCAAGUUUUUUAACUGAGAGUGUUAGGAAUGAACAUCUUAUCAAUAGAGGAUAAAUCCAUUGAGUUUAUAAACAGUUUAAAUGAUGAUUUACUUAAGAAGGAGGCAACCACUGACUCAAGGAGUGAGACCUUCUCUUCAAUAAUGAAGUUUAAUUUGGUGAGACUAACAAUAAUCCACUACCAAAGAGUACCCCUCCAGUAUCAAGGACUGAUCUAACUGUUCAAGAGGGUAAGCUCCUCUCACAACUUUAAAUACUUCAUUAAAUAUUCCUACAUAAAUGUUCAGCUAAUGGUACAGGAUGUGGUGUUUGUCAUUCAAGGGAUCUGUUGUUCAGGUUUAGUGAAGAUGUGGUUACAUGUCCUAACUGCUCCUCACACUUUCACUGGUUAUAGCAAGUUCCUGUUAAAGGUUCAAGUACAUUAGGUAUGUGUCAAUAUAAUUAUAUUGUUCUCUGUUCUAGUGUGGGCAGCAAUGUAGUGCCACCUCCACGUGACACUGCCUGGGAUCACUAGUGGCUACUACUGCUAGUGAUGCUAAGAGCACUACAUACAAGAAGAAUAGAUACUAACAGUACAAUGGAAUGUAAAUGACACUAAGAGGAUAAGUACAAUUCUCUGCUAUUGAAGACUACAUUGAGAAGUUAAUUGUUUGCUGUUUGAAGCUGUACAUUAACUGAAGACUAUAAAGAAUUACAUAACAUUAUUGUUUAUAAUUUUAGCACUUUUGUUUAAUACACAAAGUUGUCUUUUUAUCAUUGAUUAUUAUGAA
This is a long non-coding RNA of Amphimedon queenslandica, 993 nucleotides long. RefSeq lists it as uncharacterized. The record is from RefSeq and is a predicted model, not a curated record. The transcript has 9 exons. NCBI's taxonomy places the organism in Eukaryota, Metazoa, Porifera, Demospongiae, Haplosclerida, Niphatidae.